GAUGAACGCUGGCGGCGUGCCUAAUACAUGCAAGUCGAGCGAACAGACGAGGCGCUUGCUCCUAUUCCGUUAGCGGCGGACGGGUGAGUAACACGUGGGUAACCUACCUAUAGGACUGGGAUACCUUCGGGAACCCGGAUAUAAUACCGGAUAAUAUAUUGAACCGCAUGGUUCAUUAGUCAACGAGGGUUUUGAUGUCACUUAUAGAUGGUUCCGCGCCGCAUUAGCUAGUUGGUAAGGUAACGGCUUACCAAGGCAACGAUGCGUAGCCGACCUGAGAGGGUGAUCGGCCACACUGGAACUGAGACACGGUCCAGACUCCUACGGGAGGCAGCAGUAGGGAAUCUUCCGCAAUGGGCGAAAGCCUGACGGAGCAACGCCGCGUGAGUGAUGAAGGUCUUCGGAUCGUAAAACUCUGUUAUUAGGGAAGAACAAAUGUGUAAGUAACUAUGCACGUCUUGACGGUACCUAAUCAGAAAGCCACGGCUAACUACGUG
This 497-nucleotide ribosomal RNA is filed under the name uncultured bacterium. RNAcentral's name for it is "partial 16S ribosomal RNA". It matches the Rfam family "Bacterial small subunit ribosomal RNA", at positions 28 to 507 of the family's 1533-position model. The record is from RNAcentral.